ACUUCUGCUACAAGGACAACACCUGCCGUCUGUACCCGGCCUCGGCGGUCCUUCCCACAUCGGAGUGUCCGCUGGCCCAGGUGCGGUGGGGUACUUGUGACGGUUUGCCUCAGCGGGUUAUACUCGGCUUGUCCGUGAGUGGCGGAGCCAUCGUGCUACUGUGUUGCGGUUGUUUGUUUCGCCGUUUUUUUUCCUGUCGUGAUAUCAACUUUCAGUUUAUUUAUCGACCCCUAUAUCAGCGCAUCUAGCACCAGCUUCUUUCGUGUGUAGUCCACCACUUACCUGUCCAGUCCAUGUAGUACGGAAAACCUCGUGGUUUAAAUAAAGAUGGCGGCGCCUUCAA
Branchiostoma floridae (Florida lancelet) is the source of this 343-nucleotide long non-coding RNA. RefSeq lists it as uncharacterized. The transcript is spliced from 3 exons. Lineage: Eukaryota; Metazoa; Chordata; Leptocardii; Amphioxiformes; Branchiostomatidae. The record is from RefSeq and is a predicted model, not a curated record.